UGGGGAAUAUUGCACAAUGGGCGCAAGCCUGAUGCAGCCAUGCCGCGUGUAUGAAGAAGGCCUUCGGGUUGUAAAGUACUUUCAGCGGGGAGGAAGGGAGUAAAGUUAAUACCUUUGCUCAUUGACGUUACCCGCAGAAGAAGCACCUGCUAACUCCGUGCCAGCAGCCGCGGUAAUACGGAGGGUGCAAGCGUUAAUCGGAAUUACUGGGCGUAAAGCGCACGCAGGCGGUUUGUUAAGUCAGAUGUGAAAUCCCCGGGCUCAACCUGGGAACUGCAUCUGAUACUGGCAAGCUUGAGUCUCGUAGAGGGGGGUAGAAUUCCAGGUGUAGCGGUGAAAUGCGUAGAGAUCUGGAGGAAUACCGGUGGCGAAGGCGGCCCCCUGGACGAAGACUGACGCUCAGGUGCGAAAGCGUGGGGAGCAAACAGG
This 429-nucleotide ribosomal RNA is filed under the name Chloroflexota bacterium. Its description in RNAcentral is "Chloroflexi bacterium partial 16S ribosomal RNA". It matches the Rfam family "Bacterial small subunit ribosomal RNA", at positions 355 to 776 of the family's 1533-position model. Lineage: Bacteria; Bacillati; Chloroflexota. The record is from RNAcentral.